CCUUGCCCUCUCCUCCUCCUCUACACAAUGGCUAGACACUGUGGAUUCUGGACCCUUUUUUCCCUCCUGUUUCUGUAUUUUUUGUAGGUGAUCUCCUAAGACCCACAGCUUUCAACAUCUUCUGUAAGUUGAAUGACUCAUAGCUUUAUGUCUCCCGCCUGAACAUCUCCCCGGAGCUCCAGUGUGAAUGUCCAGCUUAGAACUCAACAUUUCCAUUUGGAUGUUUAAGAAAGGGAAAAGAAUCCCCCAGAUUCUGAGAAUGGUUUCUGCGCUGACAUCCAUCCUCCAGAAAUACUAUUUUCAUGGCUCUGGCUAUGAACAUCAGCAUAUAGAGGAUGGAUCACUACCAAAGAAGGCACCCAAAUGUGUCCGUCUCAUCCUGAGGAAACCCACUCAUCUGUACAUGUACUCAGCAAGUGUUUGCUGGCACCUGCUCUGAGUCACAGGGUGUGCUGGGUACUGGAUGCUCAGAGAUGUGGAAGGAGGCUGGACUUUCAAGGUAAUGUACCCAUACCCACCUCGGGGACUUGAACAUGAAAAAAACAAAAGAUCACAGUGCAAGCUGAUAAAUACUCUGAUAGAGGUGUGGGAAGAAAUGCUCCAGGAGGAGCUCAGUGGAUUGGUGAAGUUUGCUUUAUUCAUUUAAGCAAAUAAAAAUGGGUUCUGGAUACAUUCAGCAAAAGACACUUUGGAAGGCAAGAAAGAUCUUGAUCGCCAAGUUUAUAUGCUUGAUCUUAUGCUAACCAGAGGGCCUCUGGCUAAUUCAUUGAACUUAAAGAUGAGAGAUAUAAUUUUCUUUACAAAAAGACAAGUUUCCCAAAUUUGCUGACCUUUCCAAUGAUGACAGGUGGCUGUUGCUAUUAGAUAUUUUUGAAAAAGUAAACAUCUGUAAUCUGCCCUUUCAAGGUAAAGGCGAUAUUUUUUAACAAUGAGUGAGAAAGGAACUGUUUUUUUCAAACGGCACAGAAGGAAGAACAUUUAAAAAUGGAUGUUUGAAGUGUUUCCACCGUUACAUGAUCUUAUUGCCUAAAAUUUUGUCAGAGUGUCAUUUAUAAACACAGUUAUAUCUGUGUUCUAUAAAAACUCGGAAACAGAAUUUUCUAAAAUGUUAAAAAGUCUCCUACAUAGAAAAUCCUGGAGGACAUUGUAUGCAUUUGUUUAAAAUACAUAAAUGCCAUGACUUCCAACUCAUUUGCAGAAAUGAACAAUUGUACGUGGAAUAUGGAGCUCUGUAGGCGCAUAUUCAUAUCUUUUGUGUAAUUGGUAGAUGGGAUUGAAAAUGAGUCUAACAUAAAAAGUGCAGGCAAAAGUAUGCCUUCCACUGUUAUCUCUAUGCCUUUUGCAUGACUUUCAGCCCAAGUCAUGAAAACCAUGUACUAAAUAAACAUACUUUCAACUUGACCUUCAAUUAUAUCAGAAAGUGUUAAGCUAAGAUUUUUUUAAGUAUCAAAGCAUUUAUUGAGAGCAAUUACAUAGCUCUCAUUAUUUUCAUGGUUGAAAAACUAUAUAUAUUAUAUAUAAACAUAUAAAUUGUUUUAUAAUUUUCAACCAUA
Long non-coding RNA from Callithrix jacchus (white-tufted-ear marmoset), 1553 nucleotides. Lineage: Eukaryota; Metazoa; Chordata; Mammalia; Primates; Cebidae. The record is from Ensembl.